Molecule: ribosomal RNA, 437 nt
Filed under: uncultured bacterium
Lineage: Bacteria
Description: bacterial SSU rRNA
Rfam family: Bacterial small subunit ribosomal RNA
Source: RNAcentral
GCUAAACGCGAAGAACCUUACCCAGACUUGACAUGCACUAGACCGCUUCAGAAAUGAAGCUUCCCUUCGGGGCUGGUGCACAGGUGCUGCAUGGCUGUCGUCAGCUCGUGCCGUGAGGUGUUGGGUUAAGUCCCGCAACGAGCGCAACCCUUAUCCUUAGUUGCCAUCAUUAAGUUGGGAACUCUAAGGAGACCGCCGGUGACAAACCGGAGGAAGGUGGGGAUGACGUCAAGUCAUCAUGGCCUUUAUGGCCAGGGCUACACACGUGCUACAAUGGCAAGUACAGAGGGAAGCCAACCGGCGACGGGGAGCUAAUCCCAGAAAACUUGUCUUAGUCCGGAUUGGAGUCUGCAACUCGACUCCAUGAAGUUGGAAUCGCUAGUAAUCGCAGAUCAGCAUUGCUGCGGUGAAUGCGUUCCCGGGUCUUGUACACACCG